This 1238-nucleotide ribosomal RNA is filed under the name Bacillus cereus. Its description in RNAcentral is "partial 16S ribosomal RNA". It matches the Rfam family "Bacterial small subunit ribosomal RNA", at positions 135 to 1358 of the family's 1533-position model. The record is from RNAcentral. Lineage: Bacteria; Bacillati; Bacillota; Bacilli; Caryophanales; Bacillaceae.
AGACUGGGAUAACUCCGGGAAACCGGGGCUAAUACCGGAUAACAUUUUGAACCGCAUGGUUCGAAAUUGAAAGGCGGCUUCGGCUGUCACUUAUGGAUGGACCCGCGUCGCAUUAGCUAGUUGGUGAGGUAACGGCUCACCAAGGCAACGAUGCGUAGCCGACCUGAGAGGGUGAUCGGCCACACUGGGACUGAGACACGGCCCAGACUACUACGGGAGGCAGCAGUAGGGAAUCUUCCGCAAUGGACGAAAGUCUGACNGAGCAACGCNGCGUGAGUGAUGAAGGCUUUCGGGUCGNAAAACUCUGUUGUUAGGGAAGAACAAGUGCUAGUUGAAUAAGCUGGCACCUUGACGGUACCUAANCNGAANGCCACGGCUAACUACNUGCCAGCNGCCGCGGUAAUACGUAGGUGGCAAGCGUUAUCCGGAAUUAUUGGNCGUANAGCGCGCGCAGGUGGUUUCUUAAGUCUGAUGUGAAAGCCCACGGCUCAACCGUGGAGGGUCAUUGGAAACUGGGAGACUUGAGUGCAGAAGAGGAAAANUGGAAUUCCAUGUGUAGCGGUGAAAUGCGUAGAGAUAUGGAGGAACACCAGUGGCGAAGGCGACUUUCUGGUCUGUAACUGACACUGAGGCGCGAAAGCGUGGGGAGCANACANGAUUAGAUNNCCUGGUAGUCCACNCCGUAANCGAUGAGUGCUAAGUGUUAGAGNGUUUCUGCCCUUUAGUNCNGAAGUUNACGCAUUAAGCACUCCGCCUGGGGAGUACGNCCGCAAGGCUGNAACUCANAGGAAUUGACGGGGGCCCGCACAAGCGGUGGAGCAUGUGGUUUAAUUCGAAGCAACGCGAAGAACCUUACCAGGUCUNGACAUCCUCUGAAAACCCUAGAGAUAGGGCUUCUCCUUCGGGAGCAGAGUGACAGGUGGUGCAUGGUNGUCGUCAGCUCGUGUCNUGAGAUGUUGGGUUAAGUCCCGCAACGAGCGCAACCCUUGAUCUUAGUUGCCAUCAUUAAGUUGGGCACUCUAAGGUGACUGCCGGUGACAAACCGGAGGAAGGUGGGGAUGACGUCAAAUCAUCAUGCCCCUUAUGACCUGGGCUACACACGUGCUACAAUGGACGGUACAAAGAGCUGCAAGACCGCGAGGUGGAGCUAAUCUCAUAAAACCGUUCUCAGUUCGGAUUGUAGGCUGCAACUCGCCUACAUGAAGCUGGAAUCGCUAGUAAUCGCGGAUCAGCAUGCC